This 929-nucleotide ribosomal RNA is filed under the name uncultured bacterium. Its description in RNAcentral is "bacterial SSU rRNA". It matches the Rfam family "Bacterial small subunit ribosomal RNA", at positions 1 to 917 of the family's 1533-position model. RNAcentral also lists the same sequence under 1 other name. The record is from RNAcentral.
CAUUGGAUCCAGACUUUGAUCCUGGCUCAGGAUGAACGCUAGCUACAGGCUUAACACAUGCAAGUCGAGGGGAAACGAUAUUGGAAGCUUGCUUCCGAUAGGCGUCGACCGGCGCACGGGUGAGUAACGCGUAUCCAACCUGCCCACCACUUGGGGAUAACCUUGCGAAAGUAAGACUAAUACCCAAUGAUAUCUCUAGAAGACAUCUGAAAGAGAUUAAAGAUUUAUCGGUGAUGGAUGGGGAUGCGUCUGAUUAGCUUGUUGGCGGGGUAACGGCCCACCAAGGCUACGAUCAGUAGGGGUUCCGAGAGGAAGGUCCCCCACAUUGGAACUGAGACACGGUCCAAACUCCUACGGGAGGCAGCAGUGAGGAAUAUUGGUCAAUGGACGAGAGUCUGAACCAGCCAAGUAGCGUGCAGGAUGACGGCCCUAUGGGUUGUAAACUGCUUUUAUAAGGGAAUAAAGUGAGUCUCGUGAGGCUCUUUGCAUGUACCUUAUGAAUAAGGACCGGCUAAUUCCGUGCCAGCAGCCGCGGUAAUACAGAAGGUCCGGGCGUUAUCCGGAUUUAUUGGGUUUAAAGGGAGCGUAGGCCGGAGACUAAGCGUGUUGUGAAAUGUAGAUGCUCAACAUCUGCACUGCAGCGCGAACUGGUUUCCUUGAGUACGCACAAAGUGGGCGGAAUUCGUGGUGUAGCGGUGAGAUGCUUAGAUAUCACGAAGAACUCCGAUUGCGAAGGCAGCUCACUGGAGCGCAACUGACGCUGAAGCUCGAAAGUGCGGGUAUCGAACAGGAUUAGAUACCCUGGUAGUCCGCACGGUAAACGAUGGAUGCCCGCUGUUGGUCUGAAUAGGUCAGCGGCCAAGCGAAAGCAUUAAGCAUCCCACCUGGGGAGUACGCCGGCAACGGUGCAACUCAAAUGAAUUGACGGA